AUGAACGCUGGCGGCGUGCCUAAUACAUGCAAGUCGAGCGAACAGAUGAGGAGCUUGCUCCUCUGACGUUAGCGGCGGACGGGUGAGUAACACGUGGAUAACCUACCUAUAAGACUGGGAUAACUUCGGGAAACCGGAGCUAAUACCGGAUAAUAUAUUGAACCGCAUGGUUCAAUAGUGAAAGACGGUUUUGCUGUCACUUAUAGAUGGAUCCGCGCCGCAUUAGCUAGUUGGUAAGGUAACGGCUUACCAAGGCAACGAUGCAUAGCCGACCUGAGAGGGUGAUCGGCCACACUGGAACUGAGACACGGUCCAGACUCCUACGGGAGGCAGCAGUAGGGAAUCUUCCGCAAUGGGCGAAAGCCUGACGGAGCAACGCCGCGUGAGUGAUGAAGGUCUUCGGAUCGUAAAACUCUGUUAUUAGGGAAGAACAAAUGUGUAAGUAACUAUGCACGUCUUGACGGUACCUAAUCAGAAAGCCACGGCUAACUACGUG
Molecule: ribosomal RNA, 496 nt
Filed under: uncultured bacterium
Lineage: Bacteria
Description: partial 16S ribosomal RNA
Rfam family: Bacterial small subunit ribosomal RNA
Source: RNAcentral